This 635-nucleotide ribosomal RNA is filed under the name Hepatozoon felis. RNAcentral's name for it is "SSU rRNA". It matches the Rfam family "Eukaryotic small subunit ribosomal RNA", at positions 199 to 822 of the family's 1831-position model. Lineage: Eukaryota; Apicomplexa; Hepatozoidae. The record is from RNAcentral.
AGAUGCAUUUAUUAGAUAAAAAACCAAUACAUGCUUUUAAAGUAUGGAAUUUGGUGAUUUACAAUAACUUAGCAAAUCGCAUAGUGAAAACAGGCGAUAAAUCAUUCAAGUUUCUGACCUAUCAGCUUUCGACGGUAUGGUAUUGGCUUACCGUGGCAGUGACGGUUAACGGGGGAUUAGGGUUCGAUUCCGGAGAGGGAGCCUGAGAAACGGCUACCACAUCUAAGGAAGGCAGCAGGCGCGCAAAUUACCCAAUUCUAACAGCAUAAGAGAGGUAGUGACAAGAAAUAACAAUACAAGGCAGUUAAAAUGCUUUGUAAUUGGAAUGAUAGAAAUUUAAACACUUUUUAAAGUAUCAAUUGGAGGGCAAGUCUGGUGCCAGCAGCCGCGGUAAUUCCAGCUCCAAUAGCGUAUAUUAAAAUUGUUGCAGUUAAAAAGCUCGUAGUUGAAUUUCUGCUAAAAAUAACCGGUCUGCUUUUAAUAAAGGUGGUAUCUUGGUGUGUUUUUAGCAAUAAUGUCCUUUGAAAUGUUUAUUACUUCAUUGUAAUAAAUUAUUUUCAGGAUUUUUACUUUGAGAAAAUUAGAGUGUUUCUAGCAGGCUAACGCUUUGAAUACUGCAGCAUGGAAUAAUAAGA